RNAcentral lists this ribosomal RNA (439 nucleotides) under uncultured bacterium. RNAcentral describes it as "partial 16S ribosomal RNA". It matches the Rfam family "Bacterial small subunit ribosomal RNA", at positions 339 to 795 of the family's 1533-position model. The record is from RNAcentral.
CUACGGGGGGCACCAGUGGGGAAUAUUGCACAGUGGAGGAAACUCUGAUGCAGCAACGCCGCGUGGAGGAUGACACUUUUCGGAACGUAAACUCCUUUUAUAUAGGAAGAAGAUGACGGUACUACAUGAAUAAGCGCCGGCUAACUCCGUGCCAGCAGCCGCGGUAAUACGGAGGGCGCAAGCGUUACUCGGAAUCACUGGGCGUAAAGAGCGUGUAGGCGGAUUAAAAAGUCAGAAGUGAAAUCCUAUAGCUUAACUAUAGAACUGCUUCUGAAACUCUUAAUCUAGAAUAUGGGAGAGGUAGAUGGAAUUUCUGGUGUAGGGGUAAAAUCCGUAGAGAUCAGAAGGAAUACCGAUUGCGAAGGCGAUCUACUAGAACAUUAUUGACGCUGAGACGCGAAAGCGUGGGGAGCAAACAGGAUUAGAUACCCUUGUAGUC